This 471-nucleotide ribosomal RNA is filed under the name Streptococcus sp. oral taxon 064. RNAcentral describes it as "bacterial SSU rRNA". It matches the Rfam family "Bacterial small subunit ribosomal RNA", at positions 28 to 485 of the family's 1533-position model. The record is from RNAcentral. Lineage: Bacteria; Bacillati; Bacillota; Bacilli; Lactobacillales; Streptococcaceae.
GACGAACGCGGCGGCGUGCCUAAUACAUGCAAGUAGAACGCUGAAGGAGGAGCUUGCUCUUCUGGAUGAGUUGCGAACGGGUGAGUAACGCGUAGGUAACCUGCCUGGUAGCGGGGGAUAACUAUUGGAAAUGAUAGCUAAUACCGCAUAAUAGUAGAUGUUGCAUGACAUUUGCUUGAAAGGUGCAAUUGCAUCACUACCAGAUGGACCUGCGUUGUAUUAGCUAGUUGGUGGGGUAACGGCUCACCAAGGCGACGAUACAUAGCCGACCUGAGAGGGUGAUCGGCCACACUGGGACUGAGACACGGCCCAGACUCCUACGGGAGGCAGCAGUAGGGAAUCUUCGGCAAUGGACGGAAGUCUGACCGAGCAACGCCGCGUGAGUGAAGAAGGUUUUCGGAUCGUAAAGCUCUGUUGUAAGAGAAGAACGAGUGUGAGAGUGGAAAGUUCAUACUGUGACGGUAUCUACCA